GAUCCUGGCUUAGGAUGAACGCUGGCGGCGUGCUUAACACAUGCAAGUCGAACGAAGCAACUUAUUACGAUCCCUUCGGGGUGACGAUUGUUGACUGAGUGGCGGACGGGUGAGUAACGCGUGGGUAACCUGCCUUGUACAGGGGGACAACAGUUGGAAACGACUGCUAAUACCGCAUAAGCGCACAGCUUCGCAUGAAGCAGUGUGAAAAGUUUUUCAGUACAAGAUGGACCCGCGUCUGAUUAGCUAGUUGGUGAGGUAACGGCCCACCAAGGCGACGAUCAGUAGCCGACCUGAGAGGGUGACCGGCCACAUUGGGACUGAGACACGGCCCAAACUCCUACGGGAGGCAGCAGUGGGGAAUAUUGCACAAUGGGCGAAAGCCUGAUGCAGCGAACCGCCGCGUGAGCGAAGAAGUAUUUCGGUAUGUAAAGCUCUAUCAGCAGGGAAGAUAAUGACGGUACCUGACUAAGAAGCACCGGCUAAAUACGUGCCAGCAGCGGC
Molecule: ribosomal RNA, 504 nt
Filed under: uncultured bacterium
Lineage: Bacteria
Description: bacterial SSU rRNA
Rfam family: Bacterial small subunit ribosomal RNA
Source: RNAcentral